This 467-nucleotide ribosomal RNA is filed under the name uncultured bacterium. Its description in RNAcentral is "partial 16S ribosomal RNA". It matches the Rfam family "Bacterial small subunit ribosomal RNA", at positions 28 to 506 of the family's 1533-position model. The record is from RNAcentral.
GACGAACGCUGGCGGCGUGCUUAACACAUGCAAGUCGAACGGAAAGGCCCUGCUUUUGUGGGGUGCUCGAGUGGCGAACGGGUGAGUAACACGUGAGUAACCUGCCCUUGACUUUGGGAUAACUUCAGGAAACUGGGGCUAAUACCGGAUAGGAGCUCCUGCUGCAUGGUGGGGGUUGGAAAGUUUCGGCGGUUGGGGAUGGACUCGCGGCUUAUCAGCUUGUUGGUGGGGUAGUGGCUUACCAAGGCUUUGACGGGUAGCCGGCCUGAGAGGGUGACCGGCCACAUUGGGACUGAGAUACGGCCCAGACUCCUACGGGAGGCAGCAGUGGGGAAUAUUGCACAAUGGGCGGAAGCCUGAUGCAGCAACGCCGCGUGCGGGAUGACGGCCUUCGGGUGGUAAACCGCUUUCGCCUGUGACGAAGCGUGAGGGACGGUAAUGGGUAAAGAAGCACCGGCUAACUACGU